GCCCUUAGAGUUUGAUCAUGGCUCAGAAUCAACGCUGGCGGCGUGCCUCAGACAUGCAAGUCGAACGCGAAACCUUCCUUCGGGAGGGGAGUAGAGUGGCGCACGGGUGAGUAACACGUAGGUAAUUUGCCUUCGGGUGGGGAAUAACUCAGGGAAACUUGAGCUAAUACCGCAUAAUGCAGCGGCUCGACAUCGAGACAGUUGUUAAAGCGGGGGAUCGCAAGACCUCGCGCCUGAAGAGAAGCCUGCGGCAGAUUAGCUAGUUGGUAGGGUAAUGGCCUACCAAGGCGACGAUCUGUAACCGGCCUGAGAGGGCGGUCGGUCACACUGACACUGACAUACGGGUCAGACUCCUACGGGAGGCAGCAGUCGGGAAUUUUGGGCAAUGGGCGAAAGCCUGACCCAGCAACGCCGCGUGAAGGAUGAAAUCCCUCGGGAUGUAAACUUCGCAAGAAUGGGAAGAAUAAGUGGGGGACAAUACCCCCCAUGAUGACGGUACC
RNAcentral lists this ribosomal RNA (500 nucleotides) under uncultured copper smeltery bacterium D109. Its description in RNAcentral is "bacterial SSU rRNA". It matches the Rfam family "Bacterial small subunit ribosomal RNA", at positions 1 to 479 of the family's 1533-position model. The record is from RNAcentral.